Molecule: ribosomal RNA, 385 nt
Filed under: uncultured bacterium
Lineage: Bacteria
Description: bacterial SSU rRNA
Rfam family: Bacterial small subunit ribosomal RNA
Source: RNAcentral
AUUAAACGCUGGCGGCAUGCCUUACACAUGCAAGUCGAACGGCAGCACGGGGGCAACCCUGGUGGCGAGUGGCGAACGGGUGAGUAAAGCAUCGGAACGUGCCCUGGAGUGGGGGAUAACGUAGCGAAAGUUACGCUAAUACCGCAUAUUCUGUGAGCAGGAAAGCAGGGGAUCGCAAGACCUUGCGCUCUGGGAGCGGCCGAUGUCGGAUUAGCUAGUUGGUGGGGUAAAGCCUACCAAGGCGACGAUCCGUAGCGGGUCUGAGAGGAUGAUCCGCCACACUGGGACUGAGACACGGCCCAGACUCCUACGGGAGGCAGCAGUGGGGAAUUUUGGACAAUGGGCGAAAGCCUGAUCCAGCCAUGCCGCGUGAGUGAAGAAGGCC